GACGUAGGGCGCGAGCGUUGUCCGGAAUUAUUGGGCGUAAAGGGCGCGUAGGCGGUCGUGACAAGUCACUUGUGAAAUCUCCGGGCUUAACUCGGAACGGUCAAGUGAUACUGUCGGACUAGAGUACAGAAGGGGCAACUGGAAUUCUCGGUGUAGCGGUGAAAUGCGUAGAUAUCGAGAGGAACACCUGCGGCGAAGGCGGGUUGCUGGGCUGAUACUGACGCUGAGGCGCGAAAGCCAGGGGAGCGAACGGG
Molecule: ribosomal RNA, 254 nt
Filed under: uncultured bacterium
Lineage: Bacteria
Description: partial 16S ribosomal RNA
Rfam family: Bacterial small subunit ribosomal RNA
Source: RNAcentral